RNAcentral lists this ribosomal RNA (671 nucleotides) under Vibrionaceae bacterium fav-2-50-06. RNAcentral describes it as "bacterial SSU rRNA". It matches the Rfam family "Bacterial small subunit ribosomal RNA", at positions 44 to 690 of the family's 1533-position model. The record is from RNAcentral. Lineage: Bacteria; Pseudomonadati; Pseudomonadota; Gammaproteobacteria; Vibrionales; Vibrionaceae.
UUUCCUAACACAUGCAAGUCGAGCGGAAACGAGUUAUCUGAACCUUCGGGGAACGAUAACGGCGUCGAGCGGCGGACGGGUGAGUAAUGCCUAGGAAAUUGCCCUGAUGUGGGGGAUAACCAUUGGAAACGAUGGCUAAUACCGCAUAAUGCCUACGGGCCAAAGAGGGGGACCUUCGGGCCUCUCGCGUCAGGAUAUGCCUAGGUGGGAUUAGCUAGUUGGUGAGGUAAUGGCUCACCAAGGCGACGAUCCCUAGCUGGUCUGAGAGGAUGAUCAGCCACACUGGAACUGAGACACGGUCCAGACUCCUACGGGAGGCAGCAGUGGGGAAUAUUGCACAAUGGGCGCAAGCCUGAUGCAGCCAUGCCGCGUGUGUGAAGAAGGCCUUCGGGUUGUAAAGCACUUUCAGUCGUGAGGAAGGUAGUGUAGUUAAUAGCUGCAUUAUUUGACGUUAGCGACAGAAGAAGCACCGGCUAACUCCGUGCCAGCAGCCGCGGUAAUACGGAGGGUGCGAGCGUUAAUCGGAAUUACUGGGCGUAAAGCGCAUGCAGGUGGUUUGUUAAGUCAGAUGUGAAAGCCCGGGGCUCAACCUCCGGAAUAGCAUUUUGAAACUGGCAGACUAGAGUACUGUAGAGGGGGGGUAGAAUUUCAGGUGUAGCCGGUGAAAUGCC